Molecule: non-coding RNA, 61 nt
Organism: Pristionchus pacificus
Lineage: Eukaryota; Metazoa; Nematoda; Chromadorea; Rhabditida; Neodiplogasteridae
Source: Rfam
UCUUCAUUUCACACACUCUCUCGCCGGUCGCAGAGACGAGAGAGCAUGCGAAAUGAAGAGA